Molecule: ribosomal RNA, 240 nt
Filed under: Triticum aestivum (bread wheat)
Lineage: Eukaryota; Viridiplantae; Streptophyta; Magnoliopsida; Poales; Poaceae
Description: partial small subunit ribosomal RNA
Source: RNAcentral
AUGCUAUGCUAUGCGGCCCACCACUGCAGUAGGGAUUCCCACGCUAGGCAGCUCAACAGUGGUGGUGAAUUCAUUACCAUCGUUUGGCUUCUGUCCACUGCCAUGUUCAAUCGCCGGUACUGUGAUGAGGAUUGGUUUAAGAAGGGCGUGCGGAAGUUCUUCAGGCCACCAUUCCAUCUUGAGCAGUAUGAGGACGAGGGUUGUAUGCUACCUCUUUGCUGCGGUAUUUAUAUUGUGUAG